Lynx canadensis (Canada lynx) is the source of this 851-nucleotide long non-coding RNA. RefSeq lists it as uncharacterized. The record is from RefSeq and is a predicted model, not a curated record. The transcript has 2 exons. Lineage: Eukaryota; Metazoa; Chordata; Mammalia; Carnivora; Felidae.
UGCUUAAAAUGCAAACAUUCCCAAGUCCUGGCUCAGCUUCCCCCCUCCCCAUCCGUGUGCCUGAGGAGCAGUAAUUGUGCGGGGAUGCAAGUGCUCAUUACACGAACAGAGGGCAGCGUGGGACAUAAAUCUAGAAAAUUGAAAGAUUGGCCCCUUCCAGGAACGGGAACCAUGGUCACCAGCAACUCCUGCCUCACGUGUUCCCUGAUUCAUCGUCUUCCUUUGGUUCUGAUUGGCCAAACCUCAGGGGGUGACUUAUCCUCUGGAGUUGGGUUAUGCCCUGCCCAUGUGGCCAGGGGGCGGGAGCAUCCUCUGACAGCCAGGGCUGCAUGCUGGCCUGGGGGGAGGAGGGUUCUCCAGAUGAAGGGCUUUCUCUUAGGGAGGCAUAGAUGGGCACUGAGCAGACACAACAAUAUGCAUCUGCCACGGCCACGGUUGUGUGUGACAGUGUCCCUUUGGUACAAGGGCCCCCGCCAUUUCUCAGAUUCACGAGCUGACCUUCAGGGCCCAGGUUAGCAACCUUCGUCCCCACCUCCCUUUCUGAAAUGAAGGGGUAGCAUCCCAGGAGGACGACAACCUGCCUCUCCACCUUAAGUCGCCCUCCCCUCUGAUCCCGUCAUGUGAUGAAGGGGUCACCACGAGCUACAGUCUUAGCUGGAGGGCAUGAGAGGAGAGGAGAGGCCUGACUACCUCACUGAGGUCUCAAUUAAGAUCGGCAAUAAGGAAUCAUUACAAAUGCUCUGCUCAAGAUGCAUUGUAAAGAGUGAUUCACUCUGUGCCCAUUUCCUGCUAGCCCUGAAAGCUAAGCAGGGGCUGCCUGUGCUGCAAUAAAUGUCACUAUAUGAACACUA